ACAUUGUGUAAGUUUCACAUGUAAAGUAUUAUACUUCAACUUCCACAUACACUACAGCACUGUCUAUAUACCACACCUUCUUAAUCUAUUCAUCCAUCAAUGGGCACUUAGGUUGUUUCCAUAUCUUGGCUAAUAAAAAUAGUGCUGUGAUGAAUAUGGGGGUGCAUAUGUCAUUUUGAAUUAUAUUUUCAUUUUCUGAUAAAUACCUAGAAGUGCAAUAGUUGGAUCAUAUGAUAUUUCUAUUUUUAAUUUUUUUGGAGAAAUUGCCAUACUGUUUUCCAUAGUGGCUAUACCAGUUUCAUUCCUAUCAACAGUGUAGGCGGGUUCCCUUUCCAGCCUUUCCAGCACUUAUUUCUCGUCUUUUGAUGAUAGCCAUUCUAAUGAGUGUGAGGUGAUAUCUCAUUGUGGUUUUGAUUUACACAUUUACAUUUCCCUGAUGGUUAGUGAUGCUAUGAAUCUCUUCAUUUGCCUGUUGGCCAUCAGUAUGUCUUCUUUGGAAAAAUGUCUGUCCAGAUACUCUGUUCGUUUUUUAAAUCUGAUUGUUUUUGUUGUUGAGUCAUAUGAGUUCUUUACAGUCAUUGAAUUCUUUAAAAAAUUUUUAUUAUAGCUGAUUUACAAUGUUCUGCCAAAGGCUGCUGUGGAGCAGAGUGACCCAGUUAUACAUAUAAAUACAUUCUUUUUCUCAUCUUAUCUUCCAUCAUGUUUUAUCCAAAGUGACUGGAUAUAGUUCCCUGUGCUAUUCAGCAGGACCUCAUUGCUUAUCCAUUCUAAAUGCAACAGUUUGCAUGUACCAGCCUCAAACACCCAGUCCAUCCCAUUCUCUCCCCCGCCCCUCCCCCUUGGCAACCACAUGCCUGCUCUCCAUGUCUGUGAGUCUGUUUCUGUUUUGUAGACAGGUUCAUCUGGGCCAUAUUUUAGAUUCCAUAUAUAAGUCAUAUCAUAUGGUAUUUGUCUUUUUCUGAAUUACUUCGCUUAGUAUGAGAAUCUCUAGUUCAUCCAUGUUGCUGCAGAUGGCAUUAUUUUGUGCUAUUUUAUGGCCGAGUAGUAUUCCAUUGUGUAUAUGUCCUAUAUCUUCUUCAUCCAUUCAUCUGUCAAUAGACGUUUAGGUUGUUUCAAUGUCUUGGCUAUUGUAAAUAGUGCUGCAGUGGAUGUAGGGGUGCAUGUGUCUUUUUGAAUGAAAACUUUGUCUGGAUGUAUGCCAAGAAGUGGGAUUGCUGGAUCAUAUGGUAGUUCUGUAUUUAGUUUUCUGGGAAACCUCCAUAUCGUUUUCCAUAGUGGUUGUACCAAUUAACAUUCCCACCAACAGUGUAGGUUCCCUUUUCUCCACACCCUCUCCAGUAUUUGUUAUUUGUAGAGCUAUUAAUGGUGGUCAUUCUGACAGGUGUGAGGUGGUACCUCAUUGUAGUUUUGAUUUGCAUUUCUCUAAUUACUUACUGAUGUUGAGCAUUUUUUUUUAAUGGACAUUUAUAUGUAUUGUCAUUAAGAGUGUAGUCCUAUAAAAACAAUGUCACUAAAAAUACUGCAACUUUAUUUUUGCCUUUAAGAUUCCAAGGCAAUAUAAUAUUAGCAUUAAGUAGGAUACUCUUGUCUCAAUAAUCUAUUGCUACUUCAUAAACCAUUCCAAAAUUCAGAAAGUUAAAGCAACAAUUAUAUCAUUUUUCAUGAGUCUGCAGGGUUGGUGGCAGGGGGGGCAGUCAGCUGCAUUCUGCUGAGUCAUGGGCAUUUUGGCAGGCUUACUUGUGUUUGGAGGUAGCUCAGCUCCACACAUCUCUCAUCGUCCUCUUGGGGACCAGCGGGUUAUCCCAGCUAUUUCCUCCUCAGAGUGGAGCAGGAGGACAAAGAGCAAACAGAGACCAGCAUGGCCCCUUGUGACUGAAGCUCAGAAUCACACACUGCCACUCCCCUCCUCCUUAUUCUAUAGGCCAGAGCAAGUUACACAGGCCAAGUGGGAGGUCACUACAAAGUUACCUGGCAAAGGGCUUGGAUACAAGGAAGGAAGAUAAAUUAGGGCCACCAAGACGACCUAUCUUGCCUUCUCUGCAGUAGCAGAGGCCCUGGCAUGAAGGGACACUUAUUGAGACUCACUGAAAUCAAAGUCCUAUGUCCAGUUAAACUUGCAAGAUUUUCAUUUUUAAAAAACAAUGUAUUUUAAUUUUUUUUGGUCAUGCCCAUGGCGUGCAGAAGUUUCCCAGGCCAGAGAUUGAACCUGAGUCACAGUAGUGACAACAAAUCCUUAAUCACUGGGCCACCAG
This 2252-nucleotide long non-coding RNA is filed under the name Sus scrofa (pig). Its description in RNAcentral is "lncRNA (ENSSSCG00015057863.1)". Lineage: Eukaryota; Metazoa; Chordata; Mammalia; Artiodactyla; Suidae. The record is from RNAcentral.